Long non-coding RNA from Carassius auratus (goldfish), 1560 nucleotides. RefSeq lists it as uncharacterized. The record is from RefSeq and is a predicted model, not a curated record. The transcript is spliced from 3 exons. NCBI's taxonomy places the organism in Eukaryota, Metazoa, Chordata, Actinopteri, Cypriniformes, Cyprinidae.
GGGGCCAUUGAAUGCUUGAAUCUGAUUGGCUGACGAACGUCCUGAGGUGUGCAAUUAUUUUCUGGGAAAUGCACGGCGAACGUAGUUACAGAAAGCUUUCUUGACCGCAUUACAGUUCCACAUCACUUCCUGUAGUUAACGGUAACAACGGUCACGCAGUUUGCACAGAAAGGUGUUGUCAGCGCUGCCCUGGCGAUUUUAUCAGUUAGCAACUUAAAAGCUACACAUGACAUUUCUCACUAGCGAGGAGACAGCAAACAGGCUUCACAGCUUGUCAUUCCAGAAACAGAGAUCCGCUGAGGAGGACUGUGGCAUCAGUGCAGAGCCAUGAUCUUCUUCCCCUCCUCCAUCAGCCAUCAGGACAGGGGGAGUAGGGGGUGGCCGGUGUGGGGGGAGGAGCUCUUUUGUCCUGAGCGGGGUUAUGGCUAAUCUAAAGACCUGUGAUGGACGCCUCUCUGGCGGCACAGGCCGCUGGACUCCACCCCUGAGAGGAGUGGGGAGGAUGGGGGAUCACGUGAGAGGGCACGGGGGAGGGUGGAAGGCGGAGGAGGAGGAGGGAAGGUCAUUAGUCAGCAUGGAAAAAAGGAGAACAGCAGGACACAGUGCCACACAUUACAGCCCCACCACCUCCUGCAUUGUCCUCCCUCACAGGCCAAUUGACUGCUGGAGGAUCCACCGAGUUAAGUGUCUAAUCUCUUACGAGGGGGCUGGAGCUCCUCUCUUGUCACGGUAAUCCAGAGUUUGGUGCAGCUCCAUCAAAAGUGACCUUUACUGCUCAGCGUGGCAUCACAGCAACAGACACCUGCUGUUCCAGUCCUCGAAGAGCCGCUAGGCCAUCAAACCACACGGCUCUCGCAGCAGACACCCUCGAAGAACUUCCUUUGUGAUUUAGAAAGGCAUUUACUGCCGUGGUUGUUCUGAAGAGUGCAGUAAAAGGUUAAAAGGAAACUUGAUGUGGCAUUGUUGAGCGCACUGGUUAGUGUUUGGAUGUGGAUUCUUCACCGUCUCAGUAGAGCGUCUCUGUGCAGGCAGCAGACAGAACUCAGACGCAGUCCAGACUCCAGACUCACUCGCGGCUGGGUUUGUGUUUCAGGCUGAUAAGAGAUGCAGCUGGAGGGGAACCAGCCUCACUUGGCCAAAGACAACGGCAGAAGAUGCCAGAACACAGGAACAGAUGAAUGGGGUCAAAUGCAAAGCAGUAAAAAACAAAGAAAACUACCAAGAUGUUUUAUUCUAAGAAGUCUAUUCCGAGCUUCCCAACAGGAUUUGCGCAAAUAUUUUACUUUGGACAAAUGAUGCCCCAAAGCCAUUAAAAAUAGUGUAUUGCAUGAAAAAAUAUAUAUUAAAAAAGUACAUAAAAUUAAUCAUUAAAAUGUAUUAAUAUUCCCAUGAGCUACAUAAACCAUAAUUUGCAUUAAAAUGGCAUAGGCUGAAAAACUGGCUUUUUUCAAUUUUAUAUUGUCUUGACAGUUUGAGUAUUUGGUUUGUUAACAUGUCUUGAAUUUAGAUUCAAGAUUGAAUUUCAUGCUCUCUGUAGUCAAUAAUUCACCUUUACAAAAC